UACGUAGGUGGCAAGCGUUGUCCGGAUUUACUGGGCGUAAAGAGCGCGCAGGCGGUCGUUCAAGUCGCGUGUGAAAGCCCCCGGCUCAACUGGGGAGGGUCACGCGAUACUGUUCGACUCGAAGGCAGGAGAGGGAAGUGGAAUUUCCGGUGUAGCGGUGAAAUGCGUAGAUAUCGGAAGGAAUACCAAUGGCGAAGGCAGCUUCCUGGCCCAAUACUGACGCUCAGGUGCGAAAGCGUGGGGAUCAAACAGG
RNAcentral lists this ribosomal RNA (253 nucleotides) under uncultured bacterium. RNAcentral describes it as "partial 16S ribosomal RNA". It matches the Rfam family "Bacterial small subunit ribosomal RNA", at positions 524 to 776 of the family's 1533-position model. The record is from RNAcentral.